Molecule: ribosomal RNA, 253 nt
Filed under: uncultured bacterium
Lineage: Bacteria
Description: partial 16S ribosomal RNA
Rfam family: Bacterial small subunit ribosomal RNA
Source: RNAcentral
UACGUAGGGUGCAAGCGUUAAUCGGAAUUACUGGGCGUAAAGCGUGCGCAGGCGGCUUUGCAAGACAGAUGUGAAAUCCCCGGGCUUAACCUGGGAACUGCAUUUGUGACUGCAUGGCUGGAGUGCGGCAGAGGGGGAUGGAAUUCCGCGUGUAGCAGUGAAAUGCGUAGAUAUGUGGAGGAAUACCGAUGGCGAAGGCAGCCCCCUGGGCCAGUACUGACGCUCAUGCACGAAAGCGUGGGGAGCAAACAGG